RNAcentral lists this ribosomal RNA (462 nucleotides) under uncultured bacterium. RNAcentral's name for it is "partial 16S ribosomal RNA". It matches the Rfam family "Bacterial small subunit ribosomal RNA", at positions 28 to 507 of the family's 1533-position model. The record is from RNAcentral.
GACGAACGCUGGCGGCGUGCUUAACACAUGCAAGUCGAACGGUGAAGCCCUUCGGGGUGGCUCAGUGGCGAACGGGUGAGUAACACGUGAGCAACCUGCCCCUGGCCCUGGGACAACCACUGGAAACGGUGGCUAAUACCGGAUACGACCCGCCUCGGCAUCGCGGGUGGGUGCAAAGUUUUUCGGCUGGGGAUGGGCUCGCGGCCUAUCAGCUUGUUGGUGAGGUGAAGGCUCACCAAGGCGACGACGGGUAGCCGGCCUGAGAGGGCGACCGGCCACACUGGGACUGCGACACGGCCCAGACUCCUACGGGAGGCAGCAGUGGAGAAUAUUGCACAAUGGGCGAAAGCCUGAUGCAGCGACGCCGCGUGAGGGAUGACGGCCUUCGGGUUGUAAACCUCUUUCAGCUCCGAAGAAGCGAAAGUGACGGUAGGAGCAGAAGAAGCACCGGCUAACUACGUG